This 90-nucleotide transfer RNA is filed under the name Deltaproteobacteria bacterium. RNAcentral describes it as "tRNA-Ser". It matches the Rfam family "tRNA". Rfam says of the family: Transfer RNA (tRNA) molecules are approximately 80 nucleotides in length. Their secondary structure includes four short double-helical elements and three loops (D, anti-codon, and T loops). Lineage: Bacteria; Pseudomonadati; Myxococcota; Myxococcia. RNAcentral also lists the same sequence under 1 other name. The record is from RNAcentral.
GGAGGGGUGGCUGAGCGGUUGAAAGCACCGGUCUUGAAAACCGGCGGCGGCGUAAGUCGCCCGUGGGUUCGAAUCCCACCCCCUCCGCCA